UUCUGACACUACGUGCUUCCGUCAAUGAAAAACAACAGGCAUUCGCUCGUGUAUCAAGCACGGCAAGUGACACCAUAAAAGCACCAAAACAUUGAAUAUAAAAACCGCUUCGAUGCCGAGUGUUCAUACUGGGCCUGUUUUCCUGGGAAGAGCCAUGGAUGACUGUAGCGGGAUGAACUCUCCUCCUCGGUCUUCCAGAUCUCGUACGCAACAGAGAGACUAGUGGAUGCUCGCAGAGUUUGUGCGCCGACCGCUGACGACAAUGUGCGCUAACGAGUACUUCCCUACUACAAUACUCACUGGGUGGCUGUUCAACUACUUCACUCAAUGCAUGUGGCUGUUCCCUCCCUUCUCGGAGAGUAUGGAGUAGUAAUGGCUGUCUGCGUGGGAAUUUGGGCUUCUACGGACGAAUUACUCCUGGAUAAUUCAAUGAAAAAGUUUAUUAUGGAAAAGCUUCAGCAGUUUACAAGCGGAAGAAUUUGCCCUAUGUCUAAUUGUCUAUAUCACGUGAAUAAUUUAGAUCGGCUAUGUAAUUACAUAGCGAACUAAACUCCACUCCAUGGUGAAAUAACUUAACGAUGAACUCCUUCACCGUAGAGUUUAGUCCGCAAUGUAAUUGAAUGAUUUAUGUUAUCCUAGGGUACUAGGCCUAAAUCAUAAUCGGGGCGCUCCAUAACGCCCCUUACCAUGAUGUUGACCUGCUAUGAACUUUAACAGAAAUAGCACCUCUGUGUUCCUCCGGCGCCCCAACACCCCAGCACCUUCAUAUAGCAGCCCUAGCAUCUACCUGUAACCAGUGAAGCCAGAACAUACAGUCAUUGGGAGACAAGGGGGCACACAAUUGUGUCAAUUUAUCAAAGACGCAAAGGAGAAAAAGAAAGAAAAAAACACUCAAAUGUGGUUUAAAACCAUUUAGAAGAACAGCCACUCUCCAGGGAAAUAAGUGAUAAAGAAAUAGCAAGAGAUGUAUCUAUUCUCUGUAUGUGUGUUGGUUGUCUGGGUGGAUUUUGCAGGUUACUACUCCUUUUGUCAGUGGGGUAAAGUAGUAGACAGGGAGAAUCAGAUCCAGCCUCCAAGAGGCCUCUUUGGUUUCAGGUGAGCGCUGUGUGCUAGCUGUCCCCCUCUCUCCUAUCUGUUAGUGGAGGGGAUCGUUUUGGAUCCCUCUGUGGGUGAAGUGUAACAGGAGCUAUGAAGGGAAAUCCAGACACCAGUAAGUUGUGAUCAUGGAUUCAACUUCAACUGGAGGAAACAGAGUGUUUGCACACUCACUGCAUGUAAACAUGGUACACUGCAUGUAAACAUGGUACACUGCAUGUAAACAUGGUACACUGCAUGUGAACAUGGUACACUACAUGUAAACAUGGUAUACUGUAUGUAAACAUGGUACACUACAUGUAAACAUGGUACACUGCAUUUAAACAUGGUACACUGUAUGUAAACAUGGUACACUGCAUGUAAACAUGGUACACUGCAUGUAAACAUGGUACACUGCAUUUAAACAUGGUACCCUGCAUUUAAACAUGGUACACUGCAUUUAAACAUGGUAGACUGUAUGUAAACAUGGUACCCUGCAUUUAAACAUGGUACACUGCAUUUAAACAUGGUAUACUGUAUGUAAACAUGGUACACUACAUGUAAACAUGGUACACUGCAUUUAAACAUGGUACACUGUAUGUAAACAUGGUACACUGCAUGUAAACAUGGUACACUGUAUGUAAACAUGGUACACUGCAUUUAAACAUGGUACACUGCAUUUAAACAUGGUACACUGCAUUUAAACAUGGUACACUGCAUGUAAACAUGGUAGACUGUAUGUAAACAUGGUACACUACAUGUAAACAUGGUACACUGUAUGUAAACACGGUAGACUGUAUGUAAACAUGGUACACUGCAUGUAAACAUGGUAGACUGCAUUUAAACAUGGUAGACUGUAUGUAAACAUGGUACCCUGCAUUUAAACAUGGUAGACUGCAUUUAAACAUGGUACACUGCAUUUAAACAUGGUAUACUGUAUGUAAACAUGGUACCCUGCAUUUAAACAUGGUACACUGUAUGUAAACAUGGUACACUGCAUGUAAACAUGGUACACUGCAUGUAAGGGACAAAUAUGAAGAAGGGUCUUCUGACUUUCUGAAAGGGACUAUUAAAUAAUGCUCCUGGCUGUUGGAGUGGAUGUAGGA
This is a long non-coding RNA of Salvelinus fontinalis (brook trout), 2180 nucleotides long. RefSeq lists it as uncharacterized. The record is from RefSeq and is a predicted model, not a curated record. NCBI's taxonomy places the organism in Eukaryota, Metazoa, Chordata, Actinopteri, Salmoniformes, Salmonidae. The transcript has 2 exons.